GGACGAACGGCUGGCGGCGUGCCUAAUACAUGCAAGUCGAACGGGUCUUUCUAUGGAAGCUUGCUUCCACUGAGAAGAUAGUGGCGAACGGGUGAGUAACACGUGGGUAACCUGCCCAUAAGAGGGGGAGUAACAUCCGGAAACGGGUGCUAAUACCGCAUAGUUUUCUUGAUCGCAUGAUCGGGAAAGGAAAGACGGCCUUUGUGCUGUCGCUUAUGGAUGGACCCGCGGCGUAUUAGUUAGUUGGUGAGGUAACGGCUCACCAAGACGAUGAUACGUAGCCGACCUGAGAGGGUGAUCGGCCACAUUGGGACUGAGACACGGCCCAAACUCCUACGGGAGGCAGCAGUAGGGAAUCUUCCGCAAUGGACGAAAGUCUGACGGAGCAACGCCGCGUGAGUGAAAGAAGGUUUUCGGAUCGUAAAACUCUGUUGUCAGAGAAGAACAAGUUGGAGAGUAACUGCUCCAGCCUUGACGGUAUCUGACCAGAAAGCCACGGCUAACUACGUGCCAGCCGCCGC
Molecule: ribosomal RNA, 521 nt
Filed under: uncultured bacterium
Lineage: Bacteria
Description: bacterial SSU rRNA
Rfam family: Bacterial small subunit ribosomal RNA
Source: RNAcentral